CUUGACUGUAGCCUGGAAUUGGGUUCGGGCUUUUCUUGCGCAGCCUAGGUGGGAGGCUAUGAAGAUUUCCUUCCGGGGAAGUUGGAGCCAUCAGUGAGAGACCACUCUGGAGAGGCUAGAAUCCUAAUGGUGAUCCUUGAAUCAGGACACUUGACAGUUUCAGGUGGGCAGUUUUUCUGGGGCGGAAGCCUCAUAAAGGGUAACUGAGGCGCGCAAAGGUCCCCUCAGUCUGGACGGAAAUCAGACAACGAGUGUAAAGGCAAAAGGGGGCUUGACUGCAAGACCUACAAGUCGAGCAGGAGCGAAAGCUGGCCUUAGUGAUCCGACGGUGCCGCAUGGAAGGGCCGUCGCUCAACGGAUAAAAGUUA
Molecule: ribosomal RNA, 368 nt
Filed under: uncultured organism
Description: bacterial LSU rRNA
Rfam family: Bacterial large subunit ribosomal RNA
Source: RNAcentral